This 465-nucleotide ribosomal RNA is filed under the name uncultured bacterium. RNAcentral describes it as "partial 16S ribosomal RNA". It matches the Rfam family "Bacterial small subunit ribosomal RNA", at positions 28 to 507 of the family's 1533-position model. The record is from RNAcentral.
GAUGAACGCUGGCGGCGUGCUUAACACAUGCAAGUCGAACGGAAAGGCUCUUGCUUGCAGGGGUACUCGAGUGGCGAACGGGUGAGUAACACGUGGGCGACCUGCCCUGCACUUCGGGAUAAGCCUGGGAAACUGGGUCUAAUAUCGGAUAGGACCACAUUUUGGAUGGUGUGGUGGAAAGCUUUGCGGCAUGGGCUGGGCACGCGGCCUAUCAGCGUGUUGGUGGGGUAAGGGGCUACGACGGCGUAGACGGGUAGCCGGCCUGUGAGGGUGUACGGUCACAUUGGGACUGAGAGAGGGACCAGUGUGCAACAGGAGGCAACGGGGGGAAAUAUUACACAAUGAGCGCAAGCCUGAUGCAGCGGCGCCGCGUGGGGGAUGACGGCCUUCGGGUUAUGAACACCUUUCGCUAGAGACGAAGCGCAAGUGACGGUACCUAGAGAAGAAGCACCGGCUAACUACGUG